RNAcentral lists this ribosomal RNA (454 nucleotides) under uncultured Porphyromonas sp. RNAcentral's name for it is "partial 16S ribosomal RNA". It matches the Rfam family "Bacterial small subunit ribosomal RNA", at positions 341 to 792 of the family's 1533-position model. The record is from RNAcentral. Lineage: Bacteria; Pseudomonadati; Bacteroidota; Bacteroidia; Bacteroidales; Porphyromonadaceae.
ACGGAAGGCAGCAGUGAGGAAUAUUGGUCAAUGGAGGCAACUCUGAACCAGCCAUGUCGCGUGAAGGAAUACGGCCCUACGGGUCUUAAACUUCUUUUAUAGGGGGAUAAAGUGAGCCACGUGUGGCUUAUUGUAGGUACCCUAUGAAUAAGCAUCGGCUAACUCCGUGCCAGCAGCCGCGGUAAUACGGAGGAUGCGAGCGUUAUCCGGAUUUAUUGGGUUUAAAGGGUGCGCAGGCGGCACGUUAAGUCCGCGGUGAAAUGUCGGGGCUCAACCCGGGCACUGCCGUUGAAACUGGCGAGCUUGAGUGCGGAUGAGGUCGGCGGAAUGUGAUGUGUAGCGGUGAAAUGCUUAGAUAUGUCACAGAACACCGAUUGCGAAGGCAGCUGACUAAUCCGCAACUGACGCUCAGGCACGAAAGCGUGGGGAUCGAACAGGAUUAGAUACCCUGGUA